Molecule: ribosomal RNA, 468 nt
Filed under: uncultured bacterium
Lineage: Bacteria
Description: partial 16S ribosomal RNA
Rfam family: Bacterial small subunit ribosomal RNA
Source: RNAcentral
GACGAACGCUGGCGGCGUGCUUAACACAUGCAAGUCGAACGGAAAGGCCCUGCUUUUGUGGGGUGCUCGAGUGGCGAACGGGUGAGUAACACGUGAGUAACCUGCCCUUGACUUUGGGAUAACUUCAGGAAACUGGGGCUAAUACCGGAUAGGAGCUCCUGCUGCAUGGUGGGGGUUGGAAAGUUUCGGCGGUUGGGGAUGGACUCGCGGCUUAUCAGCUUGUUGGUGGGGUAGUGGCUUACCAAGGCUUUGACGGGUAGCCGGCCUGAGAGGGUGACCGGCAACAUUGGGACUGAGAUGAGGCCCAGACUCCUAAGGGAGGCAGCAGUGGGGAAUAUUGCAAAAUGGGCGGAAGACGGAUGCAGCAACGCCGCGUGCGGGAUGACGGCCUUCGGGUUGUAAACCGCUUUCGCCUGUGACGAAGCGUGAGUGACGGUAAUGGGUAAAGAAGCACCGGCUAACUACGUG